CUCACAUUCAUGUAUAGGAUGUAAACAUCUUUGGCAUCUUUAUGUAUGGUUUAUAGUGUUCACUUUUUAAUCUUUUUAAAAAAUAUUCAUCUUAAUUUGUUAAUAUGUUAACAGAUCACAUUUCCUGGAGCAGGAAAAUUUCCACACAUCAUUGGAGGAUCAGAUCUGAUAGCUCAUCAUGCUCGAAAGAAUACAGAAUUAGAAGAUUGGCUGAGGCAGGAAAUGGAGGUACAAAAACAACAUGCAAAAGAAGAAUCUCUUGCUGAUGACCUCUUCAGAUAUAAUCCUAAUGUUAAGAGGAGAAGAUAACUAAGAACAUUAAAAGGAAGCUCUGGAAACACAUCGCCUACAAACAUUUACUUUAGGCAAACUGAGAUCAGUGAAUAUUUUGUACAAGAGAGUUAAGUUACAAAUACUUUAUGGCCUAAAUUUGUUAAAUAAAAUGCACAAAACUCAUUCCUUUCA
RNAcentral lists this long non-coding RNA (465 nucleotides) under Castor canadensis (American beaver). RNAcentral describes it as "lncRNA (ENSCCNG00000031104.1)". The record is from RNAcentral. Lineage: Eukaryota; Metazoa; Chordata; Mammalia; Rodentia; Castoridae.